UGUGAUCUACCUGUAUCAGCAGGUGAAUUCUAGAUUUGUUCGAGUCAUUUCGGGAAAUGUGGUAUAGCCUCGACAUUUUUCAUUAGUUGAGAUGGGCCAACCUGAUCUACUAAAACGUUUGAAAAGCAUUAUUUUUCAGAUUAUCAACCAAUUUAAUAUUCACCUGUAACCUAUAUUAUGAUAUAUAUAAUUAUAUAUCUAGGUGUUUGUUGGGAUUGGCUUGACAGUAUUUCCGGGUCACAGCUUUUCUCGAGGUAGUAAAUGUGAUGAUGAUAUUUUAAAAGUUUGGUCAGUUGAAGUGUUUUGAUUGGAAUGUAGUGUCAGGAGUGCAAACUUUUCUUUAAGUCUGUUGUGAUGAUAAUUUCCUGAGCUGGAAUUAGAGGAAAUGGAGAUCAUGAAAGUGACUACAUAUUCGCUGUCGUUCUUUGAAGCUGACCUCAUCUCAGAGACUUGCUUUGAUUGAAGCAUAAAAUAAUACAGUGGAAAACUCGUGACUAACCUAAUAAACAUGAGAGCUAAUUUACAUCUCCCCAUGAUAGUUUUCAUUCUUUUUCAAUGGAUGUCAGCUGUGAAUGGUGUUCCCUAUCAGACCUAUGUGAGUCCAGAAAAUAUAAACUGUAUACUCUGCCCGCCUGGUCAGAAAGUAGUAGAAGACUGCAAAAGUGAGGCAUCAGAAUCAAAGUGUGAACCGUGUGAAGCAGGGUUUUUCAUGCCACAGCCCAAU
This is a long non-coding RNA of Pomacea canaliculata, 724 nucleotides long. RefSeq lists it as uncharacterized. Lineage: Eukaryota; Metazoa; Mollusca; Gastropoda; Architaenioglossa; Ampullariidae. The record is from RefSeq and is a predicted model, not a curated record. The transcript is spliced from 3 exons.